This is a non-coding RNA of Choloepus didactylus (southern two-toed sloth), 1220 nucleotides long. Lineage: Eukaryota; Metazoa; Chordata; Mammalia; Pilosa; Megalonychidae. The record is from the annotation of a RefSeq genome assembly.
GGCAGCCUCAACCCUGAGUUCAGUUAAAGUUAUUUUAUGGAGAAAAUGUCCCAAGCAACAAGGCAAAGCAGCAUGAAGAGGCGAUUGGGCACCCUUCUGGGGCUUCUGUGCACCCAGGUUUGCUGUGUGAGAAGUUUGCAGGUGGAGCAGAGUCCUCCUGCCUUGAGUCUCCAGGAGGGAGCCAGCUGCAUGCUGCGGUGCAGGUUUUCUGCCUCUGUGACCAGUGUGCAGUGGUUUCGCCAAAACCCUGGGAGACGCCUCAUCAACCUGUUUUACAAUCCUUCGGGAACACAGCAGAGAGGAAGAUUGAGCUCCACGACAGUCACCAGAGAACGCUACACCACUUUGAACAUUUCAUCUUCCCAGACCACAGACUCAGCCAUUUAUUUUUGUGCUGUGGAGGCACAGUGCUCCCGGGGCACCUGCAGUCUGUACACAAAUCCUCAGCUGGGCUCACCUCCUCCCCCAGCCACAAGCACAUCAUGAGGCCACCACAGACGCAUUUGCUCAACUGAUAUUCCUCACCUACAUUGAUAGAGUUUUAACCACAGUUACAUUUUACCCACAUAGGUCACUUGGGUCUUUAUCUUUUUCUUGCACUAUAAACUUUUGAUUUGGAAAUAGCAGAGUAGCUGAUAAGAGAACUGAGUCAAAAUAAAUGUUUAAGCUACAGUAGGCUGGACUCCAAAAGGUUAAAGGUGAAAGAUUUUUUUAAAAAAGUUGACUCCACUAAAGAUGUUAUUAGAACAAUGAUCCAGCUUUGUUUCAAGUGUCAGCCAUGAUCAAGUCUGCCUCAUGCCAAUGUGUCCCAAAAGGCAAGGGAAAAUUCUUGCAUCCCAUACUACUAGCACAGUAAAGAAAAGGAGAAAAAAAAUUGCUGAAUAUUCAUACACGGAUAAAAACUAUGGAAAAAAAAGCUUUACAAUGUAUGUUCCAAUCAAUCAGAUCCCAUUCAUGUCCUUGAGGCUUGUUUUAUGGCUUAAGCAUAUAGUCUACUCUAGAGAAUGUUCCAUUUAUGGUUGAGAUGAAUCUAUUUUCUAGUGUUGUUGGGUGCAUGUCUGAUAGGUCUAGUUGGUUUGACUGUUGUUCAGGUCUUCUAUCUCCUUGUUGAUAUUCUGCCCUGUUUUUCUAUCCAUUAUUAAAAGUGAGGUAGUGAAGUUUCUGUUAUUAUUCAAUUGUCUAUUUCUCCAUUCAAUUCUGUCAGUUUUUUAUUUCAUGUA